Long non-coding RNA from Nicrophorus vespilloides, 172 nucleotides. RefSeq lists it as uncharacterized. The transcript has 4 exons. NCBI's taxonomy places the organism in Eukaryota, Metazoa, Arthropoda, Insecta, Coleoptera, Silphidae. The record is from RefSeq and is a predicted model, not a curated record.
UGUCAAAUAUAUCUCUUGAUAAAAUGAAUGAAGACUUACUUAUUGAGGGUGCAGAAAAAUCGGUACUAAGCAGCACACAGAAGGCCGAUCUAGAAUUACAAAAGAAGAGAGAAGAAGACUUAUCUAACUUAACAAAAAUGUUUUUGGAGGAGAUUAAGGAAGCAUUCUUUAC